UAGUCAUAUGCUUGUCUCAAAGACUAAGCCAUGCACGUCUAAGUAUGAAUGUUAUACAGUGAAACUGCGAAUGGCUCAUUAAAACAGUUAUAGUUUAUUUGAUAAUCAAAUUUACAUGGAUAACCGUGGUAAUUCUAGAGCUAAUACAUGCUGGUUAGCCUGACUUUUUGGAAGGGCUGUAUUUAUUAGAUAACAAAUCAAUAUUCCUCGUGUCUAUUGUGACGACUCAUAAUAACUGAUCGAAUCGCAUGGACUUUGUCCGCGAUACAUCAUUCAAGUUUCUGCCCCAUCAGCUUUCGAUGGUAGUGUAUUGGACUACCAUGGCUUUAACGGGUAACGGAGGAUUAGGGUUCGAUUCCGGAGAGGGAGCCUGAGAAACGGCUACCACAUCUAAGGAAGGCAGCAGGCGCGUAAAUUACCCAAUCCUAAUUCAGGGAGGUAGUGACAAGAAAUAACGGACUGAGGCCUACGCUUCAGGAUUGCAAUGAGUAGAAUUUACACCCCUUUACGAGGAUCAAUUG
Molecule: ribosomal RNA, 521 nt
Filed under: uncultured ciliate
Lineage: Eukaryota; Ciliophora
Description: SSU rRNA
Rfam family: Eukaryotic small subunit ribosomal RNA
Source: RNAcentral